This is a long non-coding RNA of Exaiptasia diaphana, 707 nucleotides long. RefSeq lists it as uncharacterized. The record is from RefSeq and is a predicted model, not a curated record. The transcript is spliced from 3 exons. NCBI's taxonomy places the organism in Eukaryota, Metazoa, Cnidaria, Anthozoa, Actiniaria, Aiptasiidae.
GUAUUGUWCAUUCUUUYUCAUUGUUUCUAUGGUUCCUAAUUGAAAAUAGUAGUUGGGUUCCAAUGGUGACAACAUAAUCAAAGAUAAGCCAAAGAAGAGCAUGGGAAGGCAAGAAAUGACAAGGUCCUCACUUUUAAAAUGCUUAUUGUGUGAAUCAACAUGUGAAGAUAUUCUGUUAUCUUCGAUCAAUUGAUACGACCGACCUAUUCUUGUCUUCGCAAGAUGACCUAGUCUACAGCCUAGUACGUCACUCAUUGAGAAAGUCUCUUGUUUGCUGGGAAGUACCCAUGUUUUGCUGUAUUUUGUCUAUUUGAAUUAUCUCACGGUAGAACAAUUGAUUGAGUUCGUUAUUUUGUACUUGAUUGAUGAUCAAUUUGUCAAGGAAUGGAUCUUUUACAGUGGUUAUUGGUCGUGGAUUUCAUGAGAUAUUUGUCAAGGAAAAGCAAUUUCAAGAACUCUUGGAACACUCACUACACACACCUCUGUCUAGAAGUGAUCAUUAUUUAAUAAUGGAUAAUGGUAGAGGGAAAGAAAGUGUCCGUACCUCUAGUGUUAUCAUUAUUAUAUUGAUUUAUCAAAUAAUAAAUAAAUGAAUGUUGGAUUAAUAUUUUUUAAAUAACUAUUUGCAUAUUUGCAUAUUUUAUGUUUUUAACAUUAUUUCCAGGGUUUUUUUUUAAUAGAUUAUAGGUUAGAUUGUAAUUUGAUAA